GUAAGAGAUUGUGGGCCAAGGUUGGGUGGAGACAGAUGGGGAAAUGCUAAUGUUUGUAAUUUUGGUGAAAAGGGGGACCCAGAGAAUAAUGGGUUCCAAGGUGGGAACUCGGGUGUGUCGAGGAUGGGAACGAAGCCAGAGACCAGAGGACCACCUGACAUGGUUAAACAGCCCUGGCUUAACGUUCCAGACACUGCUGCCAAUACUUGCGGCUGUUAGUUCCUGAUUUCUGCUUAAGGCUUUGCAGUUCUGCUUAUAGUCCUGUGAUCAGAGACACUUCCUCCUGUGGCAGCUGAAUUCCACGUUUCCCGAAACAGGAUUUCCCUAUUUUGUAGAGAACUUCCAUGAUUGAAUCUUCCUGCUUCUGGAAAUAAAAUGGGUAGUCCCUUGCAUACAAAGCUUGGAGGGUGUCUCUCAUUCUUCUCUUCUUCUGCUUUUUCUCAUCUACCUGAGAAUAAUUUUAAAUGGAUCGAAGGAAUGAAUGUCAGCCACCAAACUGAGAAGUUGACUUGCCUUUAAUCACCUGUAACUUUGUUAGAAUAAUAAAUUCUGUAGAAAGCUAA
Molecule: long non-coding RNA, 563 nt
Filed under: Mus musculus (house mouse)
Lineage: Eukaryota; Metazoa; Chordata; Mammalia; Rodentia; Muridae
Description: RIKEN cDNA 2310001H17 gene
Source: RNAcentral